Molecule: ribosomal RNA, 626 nt
Filed under: uncultured bacterium
Lineage: Bacteria
Description: bacterial SSU rRNA
Rfam family: Bacterial small subunit ribosomal RNA
Source: RNAcentral
GUGCCGCAUGGCACAGCAGGGAAAACCACGGUGGUACAGGAUGGGCCCGCGUCUGAUUAGUUAGUUGGCAGGGUAACGGCCUACCAAGACGAUGAUCAGUAGCCGGCUUGAGAGAGUGGACGGCCACAUUGGGACUGAGACACGGCCCAGACUCCUGCGGGAGGCAGCAGUGGGGAAUAUUGCACAAUGGGGGGAACCCUGAUGCAGCAAUGCCGCGUGGGUGAAGAAGCACUCCGGUGCGUAAAGCCCUGUCAGCAGGGAAGAAAAUGACAGUACCUGACCAAGAAGCCCCGGCUAACUACGUGCCAGCAGCCGCGGUAAUACGUAGGGGGCAAGCGUUAUCCGGAUUUACUGGGUGUAAAGGGAGCGCAGGCGGUAUGGCAAGUCAGAUGUGAAAACCCAGGGCUCAACCCUGGGACUGCAUUUGAAACUGCCAUACUGGAGUGCCGGAGAGGUAAGUGGAAUUCCUAGUGUAGCGGUGAAAUGCGUAGAUAUUAGGAGGAACACCAGUGGCGAAGGCGGCUUACUGGACGGUAACUGACGCUGAGGCUCGAAAGCGUGGGGAGCAAACAGGAUUAGAUACCCUGGUAGUCCACGCUGUAAACGAUGAAUACUAGGUGUCGGGG